CGCUGGCGGCGCGCUUUAUACAUGCAAGUCGAACGAGAAGCCAGAGCUUGCUCUGGUGGAAAGUGGCGAACGGGUGAGUAACACGUGAGAAACCUGCCCCAAAGACUGGGAUAAGCCGAGGAAACUUGGUCUAAUACCGGAUACCUUCUUUUAUCGCAUGUUAAAAAGAAGAAAUGCUCCGGCGCUUUGGGAUGGUCUCGCGACCUAUCAGCUUGUUGGUGAGGUAAAAGCUCACCAAGGCAUCGACGGGUAGCUGGUCUGAGAGGAUGUCCAGCCACAUUGGGACUGAGAUACGGCCCAAACUCCUACGGGAGGCAGCAGUAGGGAAUCUUGCACAAUGAGGGAAACCUUGAUGCAGCGACGCCGCGUGCGGGACGAAGGCCCUAGGGUUGUAAACCGCUUUCAGUAGGGACGAAAGUGACGGUACCUACAGAAGAAGCCCCGGCCAACUAUGUG
This 456-nucleotide ribosomal RNA is filed under the name uncultured bacterium. Its description in RNAcentral is "bacterial SSU rRNA". It matches the Rfam family "Bacterial small subunit ribosomal RNA", at positions 34 to 507 of the family's 1533-position model. The record is from RNAcentral.